GGUGCUGCUCCAGGAGGUGUGCUGGGGGGGUAGGUGGUGCUACAGCAGGUGUGCUGGGAGGUGGUGCUCCAGGAGGUGUGCUGGGAGGUGGUGCUCCAGGAGGUGUGCUGGGAGGGUGGGUGGUGCUCCAGGAGGUGUGCUGGGAGGUGGUGCUACAGGAGGUGUGCUGGGGGGGUAGGUGGUGCUACAGCAGGUGUGCUGGGAGGUGGUGCUCCAGGUGUGCUGGGAGGUGGUGCUCCAGGAGGUGUGCUGGGAGGUGUUGCUCCAGGAGGUGUGCUGCGGGGGUAGGUGGUGCUCCAGGAGGUGUGCUGCGGGGGUAGGUGGUGCUACAGGAGGUGUGCUGGUAGGUGGUGCUCCAGGAGGUGCGCCGCUCUCUGCCGGAUCUCUCCGUCGCCGUUAUACUGGACAGCUUCGAGCAGCGCUGUGCCGUUCUGCCCCACAAACUCCUCCGCGGCCUGGG
Gadus macrocephalus (Pacific cod) is the source of this 460-nucleotide long non-coding RNA. RefSeq lists it as uncharacterized. The record is from RefSeq and is a predicted model, not a curated record. NCBI's taxonomy places the organism in Eukaryota, Metazoa, Chordata, Actinopteri, Gadiformes, Gadidae. The transcript is spliced from 5 exons.